UUCCGGUUGAUCCUGCCGGAGGCUACCGCUAUUGGAGUUCGAUUAAGCCAUGCGAGUCGCGAGUCUUAGGGACUCGGCGUACCGCUCAGUAACACGUGGGUAACCUGCCCUAUGCUGGGGGAUAACCUCGGGAAACUGAGAAUAAUACCCCAUAGUUCACCACGCCUGGAACGGUGGGUGGACCAAAGCUCCGGCGGCAUAGGAUGGGCCUGCGGCGUAUCAGGUUGUAGGGGGUGUAAUGUACCCUCUAGCCCUCUACGCGUACGGGUGUUGAGAGACAUCGCCCGGAGAUGGAUUCUGAGACACGAAUCCAGACCCUACGGGGUGCAGCAGGCGCGAAAACUUGGCAAUGCGAGAAAUCGUGACCAGGGAACUCCAAGUGCAUCGGGUAAGACCGAUGCUUUUCUUGACUCUUCAAAGGUCUUGGAAUAAGGGGUGGGUAAGGACGGUGCCAGCCGCCGCGGUAAUACCGGCGCCCCAAGUGGUAGUCGCUUUUAUUGGGCCUAAAACGUCCGUAGCCGGUUUGGUACAUUCGUGGGUAAAUCAAGGCGCUCAACGUCUUGAAUUCUGCGAGCACGGCCAGACUUGGGACCGGGUGAGGUGUGGGGUACUCUCAGGGUAGGGGUAAAAUCCUGUCAUCCUGAGAGGACCACCUGUUGCGAAGGCGCCACACUAGAACGGAUCCGACGGUCAGGGACGAAGCCUAGGGGCACGAACCGGAUUAGAUACCCGGGUAGUCCUAGGUGUAAACGCUGUGGACUUGAUGUUGGGAGUGCUCCGAGCACCCUCAGUGUCGAAGCGAAGGUGAUAAGUCCACUGCCUGGGAAGUACGGUCGCAAGGCUGAAACUUAAAGGAAUUGGCGGGGGAGCACCGCAACCUGAGGAUUGUGCGGUUUAAUUGGAUUCAACGCCGGA
RNAcentral lists this ribosomal RNA (915 nucleotides) under uncultured marine archaeon. Its description in RNAcentral is "bacterial SSU rRNA". It matches the Rfam family "Archaeal small subunit ribosomal RNA", at positions 1 to 922 of the family's 1478-position model. The record is from RNAcentral.